RNAcentral lists this ribosomal RNA (348 nucleotides) under Triticum aestivum (bread wheat). Its description in RNAcentral is "partial small subunit ribosomal RNA". The record is from RNAcentral. Lineage: Eukaryota; Viridiplantae; Streptophyta; Magnoliopsida; Poales; Poaceae.
AUGACCGGUCCGACGAUCAAGCUCCCCGAAGACCUCCUUGUCGAGGUCAUCUCCCGCGUGCCGUACAAGUCCACCUGCUGCUGCAAGUGCGUCUCCACACGCUGGCGGGACCUCAUCUCCUACCCCGACCACCGCAAAAUAUUUCCCCGGUCGACCCUUGCGGCUUCUUCUACACAACCCUCGCCACGGACGACCAUCCAGAUCUUUCUCAUGGUUACCAAAGCGUCUCUGGAAACUGGUGCCCUCAUGACGCCUCCCUCUCGUUCCUGCCCAAAUACGAGAGCCUUCAAAUCUUGGAUUGCUGCAACGGCCUCCCCUCCUCCUCCGCCGAGCCCGGAAGUCGACUGA